RNAcentral lists this ribosomal RNA (230 nucleotides) under uncultured bacterium. Its description in RNAcentral is "partial 16S ribosomal RNA". It matches the Rfam family "Bacterial small subunit ribosomal RNA", at positions 562 to 791 of the family's 1533-position model. The record is from RNAcentral.
AAAGCGUGCGUAGGCGGCUUUUUAAGUCGGAUGUGAAAUCCCCGAGCUUAACUUGGGAAUUGCAUUCGAUACUGGGAAGCUAGAGUAUGGGAGAGGAUGGUAGAAUUCCAGGUGUAGCGGUGAAAUGCGUAGAGAUCUGGAGGAAUACCGAUGGCGAAGGCAGCCAUCUGGCCUAAUACUGACGCUGAGGUACGAAAGCAUGGGGAGCAAACAGGAUUAGAUACCCGUGU